RNAcentral lists this long non-coding RNA (7258 nucleotides) under Sus scrofa (pig). RNAcentral's name for it is "lncRNA (ENSSSCG00035010847.1)". Lineage: Eukaryota; Metazoa; Chordata; Mammalia; Artiodactyla; Suidae. The record is from RNAcentral.
AUGUGAGCAUUUCCCUUUGAAUUUGGGCACGCUUUCCAUGGCUUCAAACAAUAGAUCAGAAGUAAAUUAUAGCUGGUGGACCAAAUCUAGGCCUCUAUUUGCUUUUGUAAAUAAAGCUGUAUUAGGACACAGCCAUAUUCACGAGUAUACGUAUUGUCUUGGCUGUUUUCACAUCACAGCAGCAGAGCUGAGUAGCUGCAACAGAGAUUGUAUGGCUUGCAAAACCUAAACUAUUGACUGACACUUUAUAGAAAAAGAUCAACAUUGUAAUAUAAUAUGAUGAAAGUGUUGCUAUGUAAUAUCUAAGCCUAUGACAUGAGAGGUCAUGCAGCUUUUGCAGCUUGAUCCCUGGACACUCAUUCUCAGGACACUCCGUCGUAAAACCUAACUACCAUGUUAUGAGAAGUCCAGGUGGGUAGGCAUCUGUAGGCACUCCAGUCAAGAGCCCUAGUUGGGCCCAGUCUUCAAGUCAUCCCCUCUCAGGUAUCAGACAUGUGAAUUAAAAUGAUCUAGACAACUCCAACCCCAGCCAUUUGAAUCAUCAUGAACUGAGACUUCCAACAUCAGUCAUGGAAUAGAGGCAAACCAUCUCCUCUGUGCACUGUUUGAAUAUCUGUGCACAUAUUAAAAUUUUUGUUUAUACUAAGUUUGAAGUUCUUUAUUAGGUAGCAAUAAAUAACCAUAGCACUGUGUCUGUACAGAGGAGAUCUACAUUUCACAGAGCAUAGAUUUAAAUGUAAAUGUUGACUGCUCAAUUUAAUAUAAGUACAUAUACACACAUAUAGAUACAAAAUAUAUGUAUAUAUAAAUAUUAUACCCAUAUAAACUAAUCUAUAUUACCCAUAAAAUGAGGGGCCCAUGAAAUAGCUAACAUUUUCCAAGAAUUUAUUAUGUUAUAGAACUGACAAAUUCUUACUUUGUAUGAUUUUUUUUUUUAACCCUCGCAGCAGCUCCCUGAAAGAAGUAAUAUUAUUUCUAUGUUAUAAGUGAGAAAACCAAGGUAAAAACAGAUAACCUGCUUAGGGUACUCAGCAAAUCAAUUUUAGAGUCAAGAUUUGAACCCAGGCUGUCAAAUUUUAGAUUUCUCUCUCUUAGUUGCCAAGCUAUAUACUCAAUAAGGGGAUGAAAGCUGAAGCUACCACCCAAUGUUCAAAAGUUAGAUAGAAACUUAGUAGGCAUGGUUGAAAAGACAGGAUUUGGAUUUUUAAGUCCAGAGCUCUAGUUAUACAAUGAAUUCUUCUCUCAUCUAGACAUAGAUUUGUUUUCAGAAAAUGAAGACCUACACCACAGCUCAUGGCAACGCCAGAUCCUUAACCCACUGAGCAAGCACAGGGACCGAACCUGAAACCUCAUGGUUCCUAGUCAGAUUCAUUAACCACUGCGCCACGACGGGAACUCCCCCCCACUCUUGAUUUUUUUGGUCCCUACUCUGUCUACUUUUGGCCAAAGCUCGAAGGCUAAUUCACACUUCAAAGUAAAAUAAUAAAAUAGUCGUAACACAGUAUCUCCAAUGCCCACUGAAAUGGAGGCUCUAAAUAAUUUUUCAGAUAGUUUAGGCAAUUAAAAAUAUGUAUAGCAUAGGUGCAAAGACAGAGGUUACUUGUGUAAUAAAGUAAAUGGUAAAACAAAAAGUUUCUGGCCAAGUACUUUGGUUUAAAUAUGAACACUAAUCUGAGUUAUACCCUUGUGCUAAAACCCAGAGACAGGUCGCAAACAGCUUCUAAAGGGAUAUUUCAGUGCACUGGGUCAAAUUCACCCAAUAAAAUGGGGUUAUUUGCAGUAUUAGAAGACAAGGUGUGACUGGCUAGAUGUAGAUGAAGGCUCCAAGAUAGAAAAGAUCAAGAACAAAUUAUGUAGAAAUAAGAUAUUAUCUCAGUCCAUGGAACAGGUCAUCCAGGAAAGAACAAGAAAUAGAUUUAUUAUCAAAUAUAUGAAACCAGAGCCAGUAAUGAAUGGGUGGUAGAUGGUUAGAAUGGACAGGUUUCAAGAACCUUAGUCAGGAAGUAGUGUGAAUUGGAAAGACCUGACAAGAUUUCUGUAUCCUCAGACAAUCCUUCCCAAGUUGGCUAUUGUAAAGGUGAGCAUUUAGGAGAUCUCUGACCUAAACAGGGCAUGAGAUUAAUAAUUUAACCCAAAGUGCAUGAAUUAUUAUCUUCUGUGCGUUCAGAAGUCAGAUGGCAUACUAUAGCAAGGGUCUGCCAUUUUUUUGCAAAGGGUCAGACAGUGCUAUCUUGAGUUUUUUGCGGACCAUACAUCUCUGUUGCAACUAUUCAACUCUGCUGUCACCACACAGAAAUAGCCAUAUGCAAUACAUUAAUGAAUGGGUGUGGCUGUGUUCGAGUAAAACCUUAUUCAUAAAUCUAGAGUCAAGCAAGAUUUUAUCAGUGAGCCAUAGUUUGCUGACCCCAGUUCUGGGUCACUGUUCACAGGUGAAUGAGUCAUGAAACAUUAAUUUCUAGUUCUCAGUGUACUACUUUCUACCUGGGCGAACUCAGCUCCAUCCUUUUAUUUAUAUGGUCUACUACAUGGCUCAAGGUUCUCCAGAGAAAGAGAACCAACAGCAUGUGUACAUAAUAUGGCUCUCUCUCUCUCUCUCUUUCCCUCUCUAUAUAAUUUAUACAUAAAACAAUUUGUUCACACAAUUAUAAAGGCUUGGUAAAUUCAAAAUCUGCAAGUUAGGCAGACUGAAGACCCUGGGAAGAGUUGCAGUUAAAGUUCUGUCAGUUUUCUGGCCAAAUUCCUUCUGGCUAUAGGAAGGUCAGUCUUUGUUUUAUUAAGAGCUUCAACUUACUAGAUGAGGCCCUUGCAUAUGAUGGAGGGUAAUCUGCUUUACUCAAAGUUCACCAAUUUAAAUGUUAAUCUCAUCCCAAGACACCAUCACAGAAAUAUCCAAAAUAAUAUUUGAUCAAAUCACUGGGCAUAGCGGCCUAGACAUGUUGAUAUAUAAAGUGAACUAUCUCAGCCAUGGUUUUAUCAUCUUUUUGUGAGAAAUUCGGUUUGAACUAUUUUGAUGCCUUCUAGAGAGAACAUUCUACCCUUAAUUUUUCACCUGGUAGGCAUCAGGUGAAAAGAGCCCAUUUGCCUGGUCAAAUGACACCUAAAAUGAUAAAAUUCUGUCUUCUCUCUCUAAUCCACUAGGAAGAAUUUCAAAAGUACACCACUCAUAUCUGCUUUAGCUAACAUGUUAGAUCUGGAACUGACCUAUGUUACCAGUGAGUCCCAUGGAAUGCUCUUUCAUGAAAGGGAGAUUUUACUUGCUAAGUUUAGGAGAAAAAGAACGUGGUGGGUGAAGAACUUCCCACAGAUAUAAGUUCAUGAAGCUGGGAGUAGAAGAGAGCAUGGAUUUCUGAAGAUGCGUGCUUUGAGUCAACACUAAUUCCACAGCAUAAGUUCAUAAUUUAGGAAGCCAAACUGCUAUGUAUUUUUUUUCCUUUUGUUCCUCCAAAUAGAGACAAAUCAACUAUUCUGGCAAAGGAAGAGAAUUAGUCAUCACAGACAAAUUCCUUUUUUAGAGGUUAUCUCUCAAAUAAUUUGACUCAGUGUAGAUGAUGAUAUAGCUCCAAAAAGCAUAAACCAGAGCCUUUCAUUCCAGGUUCAUCCUCAAACAUCUAGGAUAGGUAGAAAUUUGGCAUCGGUAGUUUCUGAAAUUUCCCCAGGUAAUUAUAAUAGGUAACCAGAUUGAGAACUACCUAUGUAUCCAAUUCUACACACAUAAUGGAGACGUAGUGAGAAGUUAAAUCAAACUUCCAAAAGCAAAACAAGCUCUGACUCUACUGGCUGGAGACAUGGGCUCUGGAUUUAGUGAGGUGAGAAGAUAAAGAUCACCAGAGAGUAAAUCAAAUGUUUUACACCUGUGCUUAGCUAAUUGUUACUCAUAUGAUUCAGACAAUAUCAUGGCACCUGAACCCUGAAAUGCCUUAGUUCUGUUUUUAAAAAAAGUAACUGUUCAAGUAAAUGAACUCUAAGAAUUACAUAAAUUAUAAAGAAAAAUAAAUCUUAUUUUCUGUAUUGCUUUCAUAUAUAUUGUUUCACUUUCAUGAUAUAAACUAGUUACCUUUCUUUUUAUUUUACAUUUGAUGAAAAUAAGGCCUAAAAAAGUUCAGUAAUUUUAUUAAAGGCAGAAUAAUGGCUCCUAAAGACGCCCUCACCCUAAUCCCUAGAAGUUAUUAAUAAGUUACCUUAUGUGGCAAAAAAGGCUUUGUAGAUAUGACUAAAGUUAUAGACAAUGAGAUAGAAAAAUUAUCCUGCAUUAUCUCAUGGAACAAAUCUAAUUGCAUGAGUCCUUAGAAACAGAAAACCAUUCCCAACUGUAGAAAGAGACAGAUGUUCUAGUAGAAACAGGAUCAGAGAGAUGCAACUUUGCUGAUUUUGAAGGCAGAGUGAGGGAACUCUGAGUCAAAGACCACAAAGUGACCUCUGGAAGCUGAUACAGUCCAAGAAACAGAUUCAUCCCUAAGACCCUCCAGAAAAUAAUGUAGCCCUGUAGACAGCUUUACUUUAACCAAUUGAGACGGACAUCAGACUUGCAAGAUAAAAAAUUGAUGUUGUUUUGAGUCACUAAAUUUCUGGUGAUUUAUAUAAAAGCAAUAAAAACAAAUAUAUAGGUUUCCUACAAGAGCAAAUCUAUAUAUUUUUACUUAAGUAUUUCUAAAAUGAAUUUUAACCUCGUGAUUGACAGCAGUAGCCACUUUAAUGGGGUCCCACCACACAUUUGGGGCAAAAGAAGCCUAAUACAAAGCAGUGACAGCAGCAAAUCAGUGUCUAACACCUGGGGUAGAAGGCAAGUUGAUUUACUGUAGCAUCAGUGUAGCCUAAAUGGGAACCCAUUCUUCUGUCCCACACCCAUAAACACUAGUCUAAUCUGCAAGCAUCUGCUGUGCCAAUAAGCCCAACAUACACUAACCCUCCAAAUCAGUACAUUAAGUGAUCCAGGCUGGAUGUUUCACGAAACUUAAACCCAAUGGCACUGGUAAGUGCAGAUAGCACCUAUUCUUCUGCAACACUAAAAAUAAUAGUAACAGAAGAAUGGGAAAUUCAGAAAGAGGAAUAACUGAAUGGUGAAAAAAUGUGGAUAAAUAUAACAGACUAUCGUUCACCUCAUGAGUAUCAUAAAUUCUGUAUAAUGGUUAAAGCAAAAAUUAUGACACUAUCUGAUGUAGUUCUCAAUAAAUAUGAAGGAAAUACUAAAUAAAAUCAUACUUUGAGUGGGGAAAAUAGACCUAAAUGGAAAUAUAUUUUUGAAAACUUCACAUGAAAUAAUAAAACACUGAUUCUAGUUGACAAUGAUAUAAAUUAUAUAUGUAUAGUGUAAUACCAAAAGCAAUCAUAAAGAAAACUAUAAAAUCAAUAUUCUAUAGUUUUCUAAAUUAAAGUGGAAUUAUUAAAAUAUGUUUAAGUAACCCACAGGAAGGCAAAUAAGAGAAACAGGAUUGAGAAACAAUGGUAAAAAACAGAAAACAAAAAAUAAAGUGGCAGAUCUAAUCUUUAACACAGCAAUAAUUACAUUAAAUUUAAAUGAUGUAAAUAACCAAUUCAAAUACAGAGAUUGGAAGAGUAGACUGAAAAAACAGCAACCAUGAUCCAACUAUAUACUAUCUAUAAGAAACUUACUUUCAACAUUAUGCUAUAGGUAGUUCAAGGUAGAAGAAUGGAGAAGAUAUAUCACGUGAACAUUAAUCAGAAAAACCAAGAGUGGCUAUGUAAAUAUCAAGUAAAGUAGAAUUUAGAGCAAUGUAAAUUUCUGGGGCAGAGAGGGUCAUUAUAUAAAGAUAACAGGAAUAAUCCACUCAGAAUAUCUAGUGAUACUAAAUGUGUACGCACCAAAUAACAGAACUUCAAAAUACGUAAGACAAAUCCUGAAAAAGCUAAAAGGAGAAAAUUUAAAAUCCACAAUUAUUAUUUGAGACUUCAACACAGAAAUUUAUAGAACUACCAGAGAGAAAAUCAGCAAGGAUAUGGCAGAACUUAACAACACUAGAAAAGGAUAGAGAAGAAAUGAACAACAGCAUCAACCAAUAACUAACAUUUAAAGAACACAUUCAGUAAGAGCAGAAUACACAUUUAAAUGUCCAUGGAACAUUCACCGAUAGACCAUAUAUUGGGUGAUAAAAAUACAUUAUCAAGUUUAAAAGAAUUAAAUUUGCAUAGAAUAUAUUCUCUAGCCAAAAUGGAGUCAUACUAUGAGUCAAUAACAGAAAGACAACAGAAAAAUCUUCAAACACAUAAAAACUAAACAACAUAAUCCAAAAUAAUCCAUCAGUCAAAAAGGAAGUUCAGAGAAAAUAUUUUAAACGCAUAUAAUAAAACAAAAUUAAGAUAUCAAAGGAUCAAAAUUUGUGGAAUGAAGCUAAGGAAUUCUGACAGGAAGUUUAUAGCACAAAAUUGGGAAAAAGAAACUAUUUCAAAGUAACAAUCUAACUUUCUAUAUUAAAAUACUAAAACAGGAAGAGGAAAAGAACAUUAAACAAAUAGAAAGAAGGAAAUAAUAAAGAAAAGCAAAUCCAUGAAACUGAAAACAGAAAAAUAGGGAAAAAUCAAUAACGCAAAAGACUGGUACUUUGAAAUAAACAAUCUAAACAAUGAUGAUCUAACAAGAGUUAGAAAGAUAAAAAGAAAGAGAGCACAAAUCACAAAUAUCAUAAAUGCAACCAGGGAUAUCAUGACCUAUCCUGCAGGUUAAUAAGGGAAAUCUAUUUAUGAACAAAUCUACACUCUAUAUUCAAAAAUGUAGAUGAAAUGAACCAAUGCUUCUAAACCUAAAACUAGCAAAACUCAGCCAGGAUGAAAUAAGUAAUCUUACUUUUUCUAUAACAAUUAUAAACACUGAAUUUUUCAUUUAAAAAUUUCCAAAAGAAAUAUUCAGGCUUAGAUGUUAAAACUUUUAUCCAGAAGUAAAAGAAUGAACUUACACGAUUGUACAAGAACUAGAAGUUCUUGCAUGAACUUGUAUAAGGCCAGUACUACACUGACACCAAAGCCAGACAGAGAGAGUAUAGAAAGUAGAAAACUACAGACCAAUGUUUUUUAUGAAAUUAGCUAUAAAAAUCCUUCACCAAAUAUUAGCAAAUUAAAUCCAGAAAUACAUAAAAAGAAGCAUAUACCAUGACCAAGUGGGAUUUGUUCCAGUUAUGCAAAGUUGGUGAAAUACUUGAAAAUCAAACAAUGUAAUCCCCCAUAGCCAAUAGAUUAAGAGGGGAAAAUCAUGUGAUCAUAUCCAUCAAUGAAAAAAAAAUUUGAAAAAUCCAAUCUCAUUCAUGAU